Molecule: regulatory RNA element, 348 nt
Organism: Erwinia sp. Leaf53
Lineage: Bacteria; Pseudomonadati; Pseudomonadota; Gammaproteobacteria; Enterobacterales; Erwiniaceae
Rfam family: RNase E 5' UTR element
About the family: This family represents a conserved element found in the 5' UTR of RNase E mRNA. RNase E is a key regulatory enzyme in the pathway of mRNA degradation in E. coli that is able to auto-regulate the degradation of its own mRNA in response to changes in RNase E activity. This rne 5' UTR element acts as a sensor of cellular RNase E concentration enabling tight regulation of RNase E concentration and synthesis.
Source: Rfam
AUCACAAGUGUAGCAAUGGAAUAAUGAUUCCGUUUUUUAUGCGAAAGCUUGUGAACAAAAUUUUGCCGGAUAGUUCAUAUCACGCAGCAAUGGCGUAAGACGUAGUGAACCAUCAGGCAUUUAGCGGGCUGCGGGUUGCAGCCUGGACACACAACGGGAUUGGUUCACCUGGUAUUCUACUGGCGGUUCCCCCCCUUGAAUGCGCUGUUUUUCCAUAUGAAAAACAGGCAACCGAGAUUUUGCGCCCCUUGAGCAGCCGACAUCCGGGAGGUUGACGGCUUUGCGAUAAGACACGGGGCCAUCGGUUUAUAGCGUCCAGCGUUACUUUGCCCGCAGCUUUGUCCCUAA